RNAcentral lists this ribosomal RNA (253 nucleotides) under uncultured bacterium. RNAcentral describes it as "partial 16S ribosomal RNA". It matches the Rfam family "Bacterial small subunit ribosomal RNA", at positions 524 to 776 of the family's 1533-position model. The record is from RNAcentral.
UACAGGGGGUGCAAACGUUGCUCGGAAUUAUUGGGCGUAAAGCGCACGUAGGCGGUUUGUUAUGUCGGAUGUGAAAGCCCUUGGCUUAACUGAGGAAGUGCAUCCGAAACUGGCAAGCUAGAGUACUAAAGAGGGUCGCGGAAUUCCCGGUGUAGAGGUGAAAUUCGUAGAUAUCGGGAGGAACACCGGUGGCGAGGGCGGCGACCUGGGUAGAUACUGACGCUGAGGUGCGAAAGCGUGGGGAGCAAACAGG